AGGACGAACGCUGGCGGCGUGCUUAACACAUGCAAGUCGAACGAAGUCCAUCCGGUGGUAACACCGGUGAAGACUUAGUGGCGAACGGGUGAGUAACACGUGAGUAACCUGCCCCGAAGACCGGGAUAACAGUGGGAAACCACUGCUAAUACCGGAUGUCCCCGAUGGACCGCAUGGUCUGCCGAGGAAAUGGACUCCGCUUCGGGAGGGGCUCGCGGCCUAUCAACUAGUUGGUGGGGUAACGGCCUACCAAGGUGACGACGGGUAGCUGGUCUGAGAGGACGAUCAGCCACACUGGGACUGAGACACGGCCCAGACUCCUACGGGAGGCAGCAGUGGGGAAUCUUGCGCAAUGGGCGAAAGCCUGACGCAGCAACGCCGCGUGAGGGAUGAAUGCCUUCGGGUUGUAAACCUCUUUCAGCAGGGACGAUUGUGACGGUACCUGCAGAAGAAGCCCCGGCAACUACGUGCCAGCAGCCGCGGUAA
RNAcentral lists this ribosomal RNA (486 nucleotides) under uncultured bacterium. RNAcentral's name for it is "SSU rRNA". It matches the Rfam family "Bacterial small subunit ribosomal RNA", at positions 26 to 523 of the family's 1533-position model. The record is from RNAcentral.